This 433-nucleotide RNase P RNA is filed under the name Nitrospirota bacterium. RNAcentral describes it as "Nitrospirae bacterium (sediment metagenome) RNase P RNA component class A". It matches the Rfam family "Bacterial RNase P class A". From Rfam's summary of the family: Ribonuclease P (RNase P) is a ubiquitous endoribonuclease, found in archaea, bacteria and eukarya as well as chloroplasts and mitochondria. Its best characterised activity is the generation of mature 5'-ends of tRNAs by cleaving the 5'-leader elements of precursor-tRNAs. The record is from RNAcentral. Lineage: Bacteria; Pseudomonadati; Nitrospirota.
AGAGCAGACCAGGCGGCCGCUCCGGAGUUUAUAGUUUGCACGUAGACACCGGAGAGGAAAGUCCGGGCUUCGCAGGGCAGGACGGCUGUUAACGGCAGCCGGGGGCGACCCCAGGGAAAGUGCAACAGAAAAUACACCGCCCGCUGAAAAGUUGCCGGGAAAUUGUCGACAAUUGUCAAAAACUUGAAGCUUCCUAUCAUGCGGGUAAGGGUGAAAUGGUGAGGUAAGAGCUCACCCGCCGCCGCGGUAACGCGGGGACGUGGUAAACCCCGUCCGGAGAAAGGCUGAAUAGGUUUUGCAUAUCGGGUUGCCCGCCCGAUUUCCCGUACGGGGAAAGGCAAAACGGGUACCAGCCGCUUGAGGCCGAAAGCGAUUUCGGCAUCCAGAUGAAUGGUCGCAUUACACAGAACCCGGCUUACGGUCUGCUCUGCUC